UACAGAGGGUGCGAGCGUUGUUCGGAAUUACUGGGCGUAAAGCGCGCGCAGGCGGCCUUUUAAGUCUUGUGGUGAAAUGCCGGGGCUCAACCCCGUGCCCGCCGGAGAUACUGGGAGGCUGGAGACGAGUAGAGGCAAGCGGAAUUCCGGGUGUAGCGGUGGAAUGCGUAGAGAUCCGGAAGAACACCGGAGGCGAAGGCGGCUUGCUGGGCUCGGUCUGACGCUGAGGCGCGAAAGCGUGGGGAGCGAACAGG
This 254-nucleotide ribosomal RNA is filed under the name uncultured bacterium. RNAcentral describes it as "partial 16S ribosomal RNA". It matches the Rfam family "Bacterial small subunit ribosomal RNA", at positions 524 to 776 of the family's 1533-position model. The record is from RNAcentral.